ACACUUUUAAGACACACCCCUAACUAUACAGGCCUUAGUCUAUAAAAAGGGCUGGUCUACUGUGUUUCUGCACUGCAGCAUAUAUCUAAUGAUUUUUGACGCUCUCUCCUUUCAAGACUAGCAAUAAAAAAAAAUGUCACAAACACAGUCUGAGAAAUGUGUUUGCGAACUCGUAAACACCUUCAAGAAGUUUGCUGCAGAAGGAGGAAAUAAAGAAGGACUAGAAGUAGAUGAAUUCAAGCGGAUGGUUCAGACUUGUUUUCCAAACCUUGUUAAGGGGAAGGACCUUGAUGAAAUGAUGCAUGACUUGGAUAAAGACCACAAUGGUUUCCUGAAUCAGAAGGAGUAUGGAAAAUGUAUAGGAAAAUUGAUUAAUAAGUGCAAAUAAUCUUGUAACAGAUAAAAUAAAUUAUUAGUAAACUAUUAAUUGUCUUAAAUGUUGGUGCCUUUUGAAAUUCAGAAGAUCAAACAUAUGUAUUGUGUAAUGUAAUGCACAUGAUGUCAAUAAAGUUCUACAUUGAUAUUUA
Long non-coding RNA from Protopterus annectens (West African lungfish), 527 nucleotides. RefSeq lists it as uncharacterized. Lineage: Eukaryota; Metazoa; Chordata; Ceratodontiformes; Protopteridae. The record is from RefSeq and is a predicted model, not a curated record. The transcript is spliced from 3 exons.